Molecule: long non-coding RNA, 475 nt
Organism: Ricinus communis (castor bean)
Lineage: Eukaryota; Viridiplantae; Streptophyta; Magnoliopsida; Malpighiales; Euphorbiaceae
Exons: 3
Source: RefSeq, a predicted model, not a curated record
GGUGUUUUCCGAACGCGUGAAAUAUUUCAAUUUCGGCUCGGUUAUGGAUCCGUUUUACGAGGAAGUAAACGUCCGUGUUUUAAGGGAGGUUCUGCCGGAUUUUCGGUAGAAUUCUUCCGAGUUGAAAUUCUUAGACAGUCAGUACUAGGGAUCUAGAUUUAGGAUUAAUGAUCAAUUGUUUCAGCGUUUUGAUAAAUUGUUUUUCAUGAUUAGAUAAUCCGUCUGUUCGGCUCGCUCCAACUGAGGCACCGGAGCAGAGCUAGGAAGUCGCCAAAGCUAUUCAUGACUGUUAGUUUUCCUGCAACUCUUAUCUAGUAACCCGACUCCUUCAUCAUCAGGUGAUGUAUUUGAUUUGGUAUGUAAAUUUGUAAAUUCUUAGAUCUCCGCAAUUGAAAUAGUAGAUGUAUCAGUUGUAAUUCUUUGAAGUUUCGGGGUCUCGCCUAAUUAUUCUGGCAGACCGAAUUAAUUGUGUAAA